Long non-coding RNA from Acanthochromis polyacanthus (spiny chromis), 462 nucleotides. RefSeq lists it as uncharacterized. The transcript is spliced from 3 exons. The record is from RefSeq and is a predicted model, not a curated record. Lineage: Eukaryota; Metazoa; Chordata; Actinopteri; Pomacentridae.
AAUGACAUCUCAUUUGUGGAUUGUGAAAUAUGACCAGCUUACGAGUUCUUCGACUUGCCCACAACAAACUAACAUCCAUCCCAUGGUUUAAGUGGCGCAGACAGUUUGGAUGUUCUUGACCUCUCACACAACUCCAUCACCCGUAUUGCUGGUCUGGAGUCUGUAAGGAGACUGCAGAGGUUGUCAGUGGACCAUAACCAGCUGAUCAGCACCAAAGGACUGAAAGAUGUAUAUACACUCCUCCACCUGGACUGCUCACACAAUCACCUGGCAAGGGUAGAGGGCCUGGAGAACAACGCUCUGCUCCACAUCGCUGGAUCUGAGAGGCAACAGCCUUGCUGAGCCCCCCAUUCUGAAGAACCAGGUCCUCCUCAGAGAGCUGCAUCUGGACGACAACAGCAUCUCCUCCCUGCAUGGCCUCGCUGCCUGCUGGCUGCCUCUCCUGCAACACCUCUCUGCGGC